RNAcentral lists this ribosomal RNA (377 nucleotides) under uncultured bacterium. Its description in RNAcentral is "bacterial SSU rRNA". It matches the Rfam family "Bacterial small subunit ribosomal RNA", at positions 524 to 898 of the family's 1533-position model. The record is from RNAcentral.
UACGUAGGGUGCGAGCGUUGUCCGGAAUUAUUGGGCGUAAAGAGCUUGUAGGCGGUUUGUCGCGUCUGCUGUGAAAAUCCGGGACUCAAUUCCGGACUUGCAGUGGGUACGGGCAGACUAGAGUACGGUAGGGGAGACUGGAAUUCCUGGUGUAGCGGUGAAAUGCGCAGAUAUCAGGAGGAACACCGAUGGCGAAGGCAGGUCUCUGGGCCGUAACUGACGCUGAGAAGCGAAAGCAUGGGGAGCGAACAGGAUUAGAUACCCUGGUAGUCCAUGCCGUAAACGUUGGGCGCUAGGUGUGGGGCUCAUUCCACGAGCUCUGUGCCGCAGCUAACGCAUUAAGCGCCCCGCCUGGGGAGUACGGCCGCAAGGCUAAA